RNAcentral lists this transfer RNA (75 nucleotides) under Ferrovum sp. JA12. RNAcentral's name for it is "tRNA-Arg". It matches the Rfam family "tRNA". From Rfam's summary of the family: Transfer RNA (tRNA) molecules are approximately 80 nucleotides in length. The record is from RNAcentral. Lineage: Bacteria; Pseudomonadati; Pseudomonadota; Betaproteobacteria; Ferrovales; Ferrovaceae.
GCCGCCAUAGUUUAAUGGAUAAAACAAGGGUUUCCUAAACCUUAGCUCCAGGUUCGACUCCUGGUGGCGGCACCA